Molecule: ribosomal RNA, 503 nt
Filed under: uncultured bacterium
Lineage: Bacteria
Description: partial 16S ribosomal RNA
Rfam family: Bacterial small subunit ribosomal RNA
Source: RNAcentral
AUUGAACGCUGGCGGCAGGCUUAACACAUGCAAGUCGAGCGGGGUGAUGGUGCUUGCACUAUCACUUAGCGGCGGACGGGUGAGUAAUGCUUAGGAAUCUGCCUAUUAGUGGGGGACAACAUCUCGAAAGGGAUGCUAAUACCGCAUACGUCCUACGGGAGAAAGCAGGGGAUCACUUGUGACCUUGCGCUAAUAGAUGAGCCUAAGUCGGAUUAGCUAGUUGGUGGGGUAAAGGCCUACCAAGGCGACGAUCUGUAGCGGGUCUGAGAGGAUGAUCCGCCACACUGGGACUGAGACACGGCCCAGACUCCUACGGGAAGCAGCAGUGGGGAAUAUUGGACAAUGGGGGGAACCCUGAUCCAGCCAUGCCGCGUGUGUGAGGAAGGCCUUAUGGUUGUAAAGCACUUUAAGCGAGGAGGAGGCUCUUUUGGUUAAUACCCAAAAUGAGUGGACGUUACUCGCAGAAUAAGCACCGGCUAACUCUGUGCCAGCCGCCGCCGUAA